CCUAAUUUCACUUGAAUGAAACCCUCGUAGGAUAAGACUUUUCACUGUAACUCUCAAAACUCCCACACUUCUUCUUCACAUUACAUGCUUCCUUCUUCCUUAAUCUACUCCUUCAAUAUUUGAUAUUCCUCUCUGCUUUUCCGUUUCAACCACUUCACAUAUCUUCACUUCUUCUGCUAUUUCAAUGUAUACCAAUAUCUCCAAAACCCAAGCAUUUCCUCUUGCAUCUAAAAUAUCAUCGCAACCCAGAUGCUUCAAUUCACUCCCCAUUUCAAACACCCAAUUUUCUUCUCAUAAAAAAUCAAUCUUUACAAACCCCAGAUGUAAAUUUCGAACCUUUGAAAUGGGAAAACCCUUAAAUGCAUAUGGGUUGAUGUUGCAGAUUGCUAGAAGAUAUUGUGGCGCGAGAAGUGCUGAAAAGGAACUUCCUUGGCUAGAAAUGGAUGGAAUUAAGGAAGGUAGAUUGGCGGAGAAAGCAAAAAGGAUCAAUGUUAGAGGUUCUGUUCAUGAGGAUUCAGUGAAGAGUGUGAGUGUUAAGUCCUCUUGGGAGCAAUCAGUUGAUAGGUUAGAGAAAACAACAGUUCCAGAAUUUAAGCCGAAGUUGCGGGAUUCGACUUUCUCUGUGAAAGGUGGUGAUUCGGGUGAGGGGAAGAAUAGUGGGUUUGUCGAGAAGGCGAGAGAGCGGAGAAGUGAUGGUGGUAGUAGAUAUGGUAGAGUUGAUGAUAAGAGAAGUGGUGGUGGUAGUAGAUAUGGUAGGUUUGAUGAUAAGAGGAGUGCUAGCAACAAGCCCUCUAGUAGGUAUGGCAAAUUUGAUGAUAAGAGGAGUGCUAACAACUCACCUUCUAGUAGAUAUGGUAGAUUUGAUGAUAAGAGAAGUGCUAGCAACACGCACUCUAAAAGAUAUGGUAAAUUUGAUGAUAAUGUUGAAGAAAGAAUGGAUGAUAAUGUUGAAGAAAGAAUUGAUGAUGAAAUGGAGAAUGGGGAGAAUGUGGAGGGUGUUGAUGAUCCAAGGUGGGAUAACAUAAGGAAUAGGUUCCAAGGUGGAUCGGAAAGACCUGAAUAUCGAAGAUGGGAUAGUAAUGAGAAUUGGGGUAGAAAGACAUGGAGAGAGGCUACUGAAUCGACUGUGCCUAAGGUUGUUGGUGAAGGAAUCUAUGGGGUUGGUCCAGUUUUGGCUGCUUUGUCAGCUGGAAGAAGGGAGUUCUAUGCAUUGUAUGUGCAACAAGGGUUGGAUUUGAGUAGCAACAAUAGGAAAAAGAAAGACAAGAAAGGAUUCGAGAGGGUUCUAAAGAUGGCUGAAAACCUCAAUAUAAGUGUAAAAGAAACAUCAAAGCAUGAUUUGAAUAUGGUAGCGGACAAUCGACCUCAUCAAGGUUUGGUAUUAGACGCUUCGCCGCUUGAGAUGGUGAGAAUACAAGAAUUGGAACCUUUUUCUCUUGAGGAAGGCAAGGGUUCUCUUUGGGUAGCUUUGGACGAGGUUACUGAUCCUCAGAAUUUGGGGGCAAUUAUCAGGUCUUCAUAUUUUUUUGGAGCUACCGGGAUAGUUUUAUGUGCCAAGAAUUCAGCUCCAUUGAGUGGUGUUGUUAGCAAAGCAAGUGCGGGAUCACUUGAGUUAAUGGAACUUAGAUAUUGCAAAAACAUGAUGCAGUUCUUAGUAUCAUCCGCCGAAAACGGUUGGCGGGUUCUUGGAGGAUCUGUCGCCUCUAAAGCGAUUUCAUUAAAUGAGAUCGAAUCUGGUCCGCCGACUAUUCUUGUUUUGGGCAGUGAAGGCACUGGUUUGAGGCCUUUGGUAGAGAGAUCAUGUACUCAGUUGGUUAAAAUUGCUGGUAAUAUUCCUCUUGACUCAUGUAAUAGUGAACUAGAAGGUGAAAGUACCGGUUUAAAUGGCGAGGGCGCUGGUAAAGAGUUUCUUUCAUUUUUGGCUGUGGAAAGCUUAAAUGUUAGUGUAGCAGCAGGUGUGCUUCUUCAUCACUUAAUUGGUGGUAAAAGCUCUGUCGAAUCUUUGUCGGACGCAAAUAGACAGAUUUCUGAGUGAGACUACAAGGCCUCGAUGUAUUUAGUCUGUUAUCUUAGGGUCUCAUACACUGUAGUUUCUCCUUUUUUAUCAUUGGAUCAGUAUGCAAAUCAAAGGGAAAGAUCGCGUAAUUUGAGAGUCGAGAGGCUUUUUUUUUUUGUUAUCAAUAUAGUGGCCAUUGCUUUGUUAUUGUUAUUUAGUUUUAUUGUGGUCAAUGGUCAGAAUCUAUGUUCUGAUAAUAAUGAGAUCGUUGAUUCUUGUCCUGAAUUUUGACAAUUGCCUCUAUAUAACAUGAAAUUAGCCACCUGCUUGAUAUCCUAACUUUCACUGAAUCCCCUUUACUCUAUAAACUACAUCUAAACAUGGUGAUUAUACUCUACUUGCAUCUUUUUCUUUCGAAGAAGAAAUCUGGCCGGGCAGACAACAUGGGAGAGAACGUUGAGCUGGAGUCGGCACCAAGCGUGCCGAAGUUGCAAUGCAGCAAAGGCUGUGAAAGAGAAGAGAGGAGAGUCUGUGAAAGCUAUGUUCCAGGUUCCGACCGGCUUUAAGUCCACUGAUCAUGAUUUAGUUCUUCGAAAGAGACGUCUCGAUAGGUUGAAGAGUGUGUAUUAUAUAUAAACUACCAUUGACUUUGUUUCUCAAGUAAUACAAGACUUUUUUAUAAUGUUAAAAGCGGAGAAAAUUUUAGAAAUUUGGACAAUUAAAGAAGAUAAAAUAAUAAUUCGAUGAUCUUUUUAGGUGAAAAAAAUUAAUUGCUUAGAGUAAAAUCCAAAAUCCAUUGAUCUAUGGAUUUAAUUUUCAAAUCCAAUUUUUUAUAGUCUCACCAUUGAUCUACAAACCUGAAAUUGUAGAUACAAGAUACCUGAAAUUUAAAGUAAAAUAUGAGGGAAAGUAGAUUUACAAAUUUGCAGAUCUAAAACAAAAAUAUUAUAUUUUUCAAAAAAAAAUCAGAUUCAGAC
RNA transcript from Vicia villosa (hairy vetch), 2973 nucleotides. RefSeq lists it as uncharacterized. The transcript has 2 exons. Lineage: Eukaryota; Viridiplantae; Streptophyta; Magnoliopsida; Fabales; Fabaceae. The record is from RefSeq and is a predicted model, not a curated record.